RNAcentral lists this ribosomal RNA (425 nucleotides) under Smeringopina bomfobiri. Its description in RNAcentral is "partial 16S ribosomal RNA". It matches the Rfam family "Bacterial large subunit ribosomal RNA", at positions 1830 to 2596 of the family's 2925-position model. Lineage: Eukaryota; Metazoa; Arthropoda; Arachnida; Araneae; Pholcidae. The record is from RNAcentral.
UUCUUUAAGAAAAAAUUUAAAGCCCAGCCUGCUCAAUGAUAAAAUUAAAUAGCCGCAGUAUAUACUGUGCUAAGGUAGCAUAAUAAUUAGCUUCCCAAUUAGAAGAUAGAAUGAAUGGCUAAACGAAUUAUAACCUGUCUCAAUAAUAACCAUUAAAUUAAAAUAUUAGUCAAAAUCCUAAUACAAACAUGAAAGACGACAAGACCCCGAUAAACUUAACAUUUAAUUGGGGCAAUACAAUAAAAAAACCUUAAUAUGCUUAAAUAUAACUAUAAAAUAUAAUUUAAAAUAGUUACUACGGGGAUAACAGCGCAAUUCUUUUUAAGAGCUCUAAUUUAAAAAAGACAUUACGACCUCGAUGUUGAAUUAAUUAUCUUUAAUGGGGUAACAUCUAUUAAAGUCAGGUCUGUUCGACCACAUAAAAU